GAGUUGGACAUACUAUAAAAACUAAGUUAAAAUCUUGUAAAAUUUUUAAAUUGCAUUUCUACCUUUAAACAUCUACUGAGUGAGGUAGAGGGCAUGUCUAUUUAAUCAAACCUGGAAUGGCUAAUACAUGUCAAUACUGUGCACCACAGGUAUCAAAACCUAAAAUUCCCGAAACCCUUUCCCUUUAGAUUAGCAAAAUAUGAUUUUAAUCUCCCAACUCUAUAUUGUGUCUUAGACAAAAUUACUAGGCCAUUUUUUUUACAUUUGAUUCUGGAUCUUGACACAUCCUAUCCUCAACUUAAUUUCUCUGAGGAUAGAAAAACUGUGUGAUAUGGAAUAAUAAUACCAAACAUUUGUUAUAAACAAAGGAUAUUUUAUUUCUGCCCUGCUGUCCUGGCCUCUUAGAAUCAUAGCUCUUCUUAGAAACUGGCAGAAUCAGCCUUCUGUUCAGGGUAAAUUUUGGGCAAUUAUGUGACAUAUGAAGGCUGGUUUCAUUGCACCAGGUACUAAGAAAACCUGCUUCUGCCAGAAGUAAAAUCCAGUAAGUUUUUUUUUUUUUAAUAUAAAUUGGUGA
Molecule: long non-coding RNA, 574 nt
Filed under: Homo sapiens (human)
Lineage: Eukaryota; Metazoa; Chordata; Mammalia; Primates; Hominidae
Description: non-protein coding lnc-DAZ3-4:1
Source: RNAcentral